UCUUGACUAGUAUAUCGGUUCAGUACACCCGCUUGUCAAAAUCGAUUCCGCGGGAGAGCAGGGUUCGACUCCCUGGUCGAGAG
Molecule: non-coding RNA, 83 nt
Organism: Mycena galericulata
Lineage: Eukaryota; Fungi; Basidiomycota; Agaricomycetes; Agaricales; Mycenaceae
Source: the annotation of a GenBank genome assembly